Molecule: long non-coding RNA, 240 nt
Filed under: Homo sapiens (human)
Lineage: Eukaryota; Metazoa; Chordata; Mammalia; Primates; Hominidae
Description: non-protein coding LINC02588:33
Source: RNAcentral
UUUAGAGAUGAGGGUCUCAUCCUUUUGCCCAGGCUGGAGUACAGUGGUGUGUAUGUAGCACACUGCAGCCUUCAACUCCUGAUCCUCCAACCUCAGCCUCCACAGUUGCUGGGAUUACAAGUUCAAGUUGGUGUGUAUCUGCAAAGGCGAUGGAAAGGAGUUCUUACAUAUGCAUAUUCUGAAGAAGGAUGUUACCCUUACUGAAAAACUUAUUCCAAGAUAUGUUUAAUCAAUCAUGAG